GGUGGGGAUCUGGACCAUUUACAAGAUAAUAGUACAUUCUCAAAUUGAACGGGGUGGGGGUGACCCCCAGGAACUUCCAUUUAAUUUCAUUUGAUUAGUUUUAUUGUCCCUUACAAGAAUAUAUAUAGUUUAGGGGUGGGGAUGUUGACCGUUUAUAAGUUUUCAAACAAGAGGGGGUGGGGUGACCCCCUAGGGACUUUCCUUUUAUUUCAUUUCAUUUGUUUUAUUGUCCCCUACAAGAAAAUAUAUGGUUUAGGGGUGGGGAUCUGGACCAUUUACAAGAUAAUAGUACAUUCUCAAAUUGAACGGGGUGGGGGUGACCCCCAGGAACUUCCAUUUAAUUUCAUUUGAUUAGUUUUAUUGUCCCCUACAAG
Molecule: long non-coding RNA, 374 nt
Filed under: Mytilus galloprovincialis (Mediterranean mussel)
Lineage: Eukaryota; Metazoa; Mollusca; Bivalvia; Mytilida; Mytilidae
Source: RNAcentral